Molecule: long non-coding RNA, 234 nt
Filed under: Theobroma cacao (cacao)
Lineage: Eukaryota; Viridiplantae; Streptophyta; Magnoliopsida; Malvales; Malvaceae
Description: long non-coding RNA (TCAC_LNC006459)
Source: RNAcentral
UUUACUCACUGGGAUUUUAUAAUCUCACCACCCUCAUUUCCUCACAUUUCAAGCUCGGGGAAUUCCAUAGUUAGCUGACUUUGACAAGGACCUUCAUUUGGACUUGAAUCGGUAAAAGCUGUAGGUUUUCAGCUUCCGAUGCAUUUUGGUUAAAUGUGGGCCCACGUGUCACUGUAAAAGAAAUUUUAUGCUUUGGUUAUUUGCUUUAUAGUAUAUAUGAAUAUAAUUAACUUU